GGAUGCGAUCAUACCAGCACUAAUGCACCGGAUCCCAUCAGAACUCCGCAGUUAAGCGUGCUUGGGCGAGAGUAGUACUAGGAUGGGUGACCUCCUGGGAAGUCCUCGUGUUGCAUCCCUC
Molecule: ribosomal RNA, 121 nt
Filed under: Arabidopsis thaliana (thale cress)
Lineage: Eukaryota; Viridiplantae; Streptophyta; Magnoliopsida; Brassicales; Brassicaceae
Source: RNAcentral